RNAcentral lists this ribosomal RNA (601 nucleotides) under Naganishia albidosimilis. RNAcentral's name for it is "eukaryotic LSU rRNA". It matches the Rfam family "Eukaryotic large subunit ribosomal RNA", at positions 50 to 655 of the family's 3401-position model. Lineage: Eukaryota; Fungi; Basidiomycota; Tremellomycetes; Filobasidiales; Filobasidiaceae. The record is from RNAcentral.
GCGGAGGAAAAGAAACUAACAAGGAUUCCCCUAGUAACGGCGAGUGAAGCGGGAAGAGCUCAAAUUUGAAAUCUGGUAGCCUUCGGUUGCCCGAGUUGUAAUCUAGAGAAAUGUUUUCCGUGCCGGCCCAUGUACAAGUCCCUUGGAACAGGGCGUCAUAGAGGGUGAGAAUCCCGUCCUUGACAUGGACCCCCGGUGCUUUGUGAUACAUUUUCAACGAGUCGAGUUGUUUGGGAAUGCAGCUCAAAAUGGGUGGUGAAUUCCAUCUAAAGCUAAAUAUUGGCGAGAGACCGAUAGCGAACAAGUACCGUGAGGGAAAGAUGAAAAGCACUUUGGAAAGAGAGUUAAACAGUACGUGAAAUUGUUGAAAGGGAAACGAUUGAAGUCAGUCAUGCUCUUUGGUAUUUAUAUCAUUGAGUGGGGUCAACAUCAGUUUUGAUCGAUGGAUAAAGGCACUAGGAAGGUAGCACUCUCGGGUGAACUUAUAGCCUAGCGUCAUAUACAUUGAUUGGGACUGAGGAACGCAGCAUGCCUUUAUGGCCGGGAUUCGUCCACGUACAUGCUUAGGAUGUUGACAUAAUGGCUUUAAACGACCCGUCUU